Long non-coding RNA from Mauremys mutica (yellowpond turtle), 622 nucleotides. RefSeq lists it as uncharacterized. The transcript has 3 exons. The record is from RefSeq and is a predicted model, not a curated record. NCBI's taxonomy places the organism in Eukaryota, Metazoa, Chordata, Testudines, Geoemydidae.
CAAGAAGAUUGGGAAGAGCAUAAAAGAAGAGGAGGAGACAGUUUGAGAGAGACUCGAGGGAGAGGGACCCAAGGAAGUAGAGGGAGACCUGGGAAAGGAAGAGAAAAUGGGAGACAGAUUCCAUGAAAUGAAAAUGCUUUUCAAGAUGGGGACAAAAUAUAAAAAGGAAGGGUGAACACCCAAGACAACCCCCCUCUUCCAUGUCCAUCUCACUCUUUGCACUUGAAAAGACAAGAAACAGCCACCAUUGGACUCUGGGGGGUCCUGAUUUCAAGAGUUUGAUCAGCAAUGCUGCUGGAAGCAUGUGCGAGCCAGUGGGAUACCCCACAGCCCCGCUGAGGGAUGAACCUCCCCUAACACCCAUGUGGGCGGAGUCACUGGGUCCUGCGCCCACCCCUCAGAGGUCACGGCGCAGACCCAGAAGUAUAAAAGCUCACCGGCAGAGCUCAGUUGGGAACCAGCCGCCGGAGAGACCAAACAUUCGCGACCGAGCUCCCUCUGGGGAGACAGCAGAAGGCCGAGCCUGCCUCUUGCCAGCUACCCCGAGGAGGCGCCGAGCCUACCGUCUGUUACUUACCUGGAGGAACCGAUGGUGUUCGAGGUCGCCAGCGACGCUACCCCA